UAUUAUGAGAGUUUGAUCCUGGCUCAGGACGAACGCUGGCGGCGUGCCUAAUACAUGCAAGUCGAACGCUU
This 71-nucleotide ribosomal RNA is filed under the name Enterococcus faecalis. Its description in RNAcentral is "partial 16S ribosomal RNA". It matches the Rfam family "Bacterial small subunit ribosomal RNA", at positions 1 to 71 of the family's 1533-position model. The record is from RNAcentral. Lineage: Bacteria; Bacillati; Bacillota; Bacilli; Lactobacillales; Enterococcaceae.